This 499-nucleotide ribosomal RNA is filed under the name uncultured bacterium. RNAcentral describes it as "partial 16S ribosomal RNA". It matches the Rfam family "Bacterial small subunit ribosomal RNA", at positions 28 to 507 of the family's 1533-position model. The record is from RNAcentral.
GACGAACGCUGGCGGCGUGCUUAACACAUGCAAGUCGAACGGGCCCGCUCUCUUUUUUGGGGGUGGGUUGAGUGGCGACCGGGUGAGUAUCCCGUGAGUAACCUGCCCCCUGCUCCUGGAUAACUGCUUGAAAGGGCGGCUAAUACGGGGUGUGCCGGCUGGUCCGCAUGGGCCUGGUCGGGAUAGUUUCAUCUUCGGGUGUUUCGGUGGGGGAUGGGCUCGGGGCCUAUCAGCUUGUUGGUGGGGUGAUGGCCCACGAAGGCGGUGGCGGGUAGCCGGCAUGAGAGGGUGGGCGGCCACACUGGGACUGAGACACGGCGCAGACGCGUGAGGGAGGAAGCAGGGGGGGGUAUGGCACAGUGGGAGGAAGCCUGAUGCAGCGACGGCGCGUGAGGGAUGGAGGCCUUCGGGUAGUGAACCUCUUUCUCCGGUGGUGAAGGCCCUGACCGUUGCGGCGGGGUUGACGGUAGCCGGGGAUGAAGCGCCGGCUAACUACGUG